This is a long non-coding RNA of Sardina pilchardus (European sardine), 1355 nucleotides long. RefSeq lists it as uncharacterized. The record is from RefSeq and is a predicted model, not a curated record. Lineage: Eukaryota; Metazoa; Chordata; Actinopteri; Clupeiformes; Clupeidae. The transcript has 2 exons.
GUUCAGGUGAAGAAUAGCUUGUAAAUAGGUACUAUCCCUAAAGUGUGAUGUUUUACAUCUGAUACUACUGUACCUUCUCCCUGGGUGACUGUGAAUAGAUGGUGUGCUGGAUGGGAGAGGUCAGAGAUGAUGUUUACGGCUUUCUUGGAAAGAAAAAAAAGGCAGACUACAGCCAACGAUUUUAGAGGCCCUGUGUACUACCCUCUCAAGCCGUUGUUUGUCCUGGCUGGUGGUGGCACUACCAUACCAUGCCAGAGCAGGAUGGAGAAGAAAAGCCCAAGGACUCAGAACAUGAAGCCAAAGAAGUAGAUGAUGACUCGGACCAGACAUACCAAAUGGAAAAGCCCAUUAAACAAAAGUAAUCAACCCUACUGGAGAUGAAUGCGAAAUUCUAAAUCAAGUUUUAACAUUAGAUUUCUAAGUUUCCAAAGGAUAGGUCAAGCAGAAGUAGUGCAAAAGGUGUCCUACUUGCUUCGGUAGGAGGGGAAACGUAUAGUCUAAUAAACGUUUUUAGUCUUGCACCAAAUCGUCAAGGUACUCAUGGCUGUCAGUUAGCGGUAUAACAAUAUUUUAAAAAAAAUUUUAAGAAAUCUUAAGUGAUGAAAUAUAUUGCUCUACGCUCUAUAGGGCUGCUUGAUUAUCGUAAAAAUCAUUAUCACGAUUAUUUUGUUCAAUAUUGAGAUCACGAUUAUUAGAUGUGAUUACUCAGUGAUUUUGGAACUAUCAUCCAUAUUCAAAAUGCAAUUUUUAAAAAUGUUUUAGUUGAAUUUUAAAUAUAAUCCAACAGGAAAAAAUACAUGUAAAAAGAUAAUGCACAAGACAACUUGAGACAAAAGGAGAGCAUUGUAAUGAAACUGAAUGUUGCAAAAUAAUGAUUAUAUUUUGAUUAUGCUAUUUUCAUAAUUGUUUAAUUUGAGUUAUUUCACAAUAGGUUUCAAAGAAUUGCUGUACUACUUUAAGAUUAUUAUUUUUAUUUAUGUGGUGAUGAUGAUGCCUCCCUUCCUUCAGAUGGAGGCUGCUGAGGCAGUUCAUCAAUACAACACACACAAACACACAAAUGACGUGGAAAUAAAGCAUGCCAUGCUUAACUCAUCAAGUGAAGUGUUAUUUGGAUAAGAUCGUACCAAUGUAGUAAUACAAUAUGUAUCUACUCAUGAUAAAGUGAAGGUAUUGCUACAACAUUUAAAGGUGAAUAUCUCUGGCCUAUCACUGAGAUGUGUUUAUAGUCAGAAGUUGCAGAGCAUCUUCAAAAGUAUGACACCCAUUAGGCUCCAUGAUCUUGGCAAAUUUGAGCUGGUUUACCGAGAUGUUGUACCACUUAAAGAGUGCAAUAAAAUUGUAUUAAUUAACUGUCA